RNAcentral lists this ribosomal RNA (235 nucleotides) under uncultured bacterium. Its description in RNAcentral is "partial 16S ribosomal RNA". It matches the Rfam family "Bacterial small subunit ribosomal RNA", at positions 15 to 240 of the family's 1533-position model. The record is from RNAcentral.
GAUCCUGGCUCAGGAUGAACGCUAGCGACAGGCUUAACACAUGCAAGUCGAGGGGCAGCAUAAUUUGUAGCAAUACAGAUUGAUGGCGACCGGCGCACGGGUGAGUAACGCGUAUGCAACUUACCUAUCAGAGGGGGAUAGCCCGGCGAAAGUCGGAUUAAUACCCCAUAAAACAGGGGUCCCGCAUGGGAAUAUUUGUUAAAGAUUCAUCGCUGAUAGAUAGGCAUGCGUUCCA